This 1378-nucleotide ribosomal RNA is filed under the name Escherichia coli. Its description in RNAcentral is "bacterial SSU rRNA". It matches the Rfam family "Bacterial small subunit ribosomal RNA", at positions 159 to 1533 of the family's 1533-position model. Lineage: Bacteria; Pseudomonadati; Pseudomonadota; Gammaproteobacteria; Enterobacterales; Enterobacteriaceae. RNAcentral also lists the same sequence under 2 other names. The record is from RNAcentral.
GUAGCUAAUACCGCAUAACGUCGCAAGACCAAAGAGGGGGACCUUCGGGCCUCUUGCCAUCGGAUGUGCCCAGAUGGGAUUAGCUUGUUGGUGGGGUAACGGCUCACCAAGGCGACGAUCCCUAGCUGGUCUGAGAGGAUGACCAGCCACACUGGAACUGAGACACGGUCCAGACUCCUACGGGAGGCAGCAGUGGGGAAUAUUGCACAAUGGGCGCAAGCCUGAUGCAGCCAUGCCGCGUGUAUGAAGAAGGCCUUCGGGUUGUAAAGUACUUUCAGCGGGGAGGAAGGGAGUAAAGUUAAUACCUUUGCUCAUUGACGUUACCCGCAGAAGAAGCACCGGCUAACUCCGUGCCAGCAGCCGCGGUAAUACGGAGGGUGCAAGCGUUAAUCGGAAUUACUGGGCGUAAAGCGCACGCAGGCGGUUUGUUAAGUCAGAUGUGAAAUCCCCGGGCUCAACCUGGGAACUGCAUCUGAUACUGGCAAGCUUGAGUCUCGUAGAGGGGGGUAGAAUUCCAGGUGUAGCGGUGAAAUGCGUAGAGAUCUGGAGGAAUACCGGUGGCGAAGGCGGCCCCCUGGACGAAGACUGACGCUCAGGUGCGAAAGCGUGGGGAGCAAACAGGAUUAGAUACCCUGGUAGUCCACGCCGUAAACGAUGUCGACUUGGAGGUUGUGCCCUUGAGGCGUGGCUUCCGGAGCUAACGCGUUAAGUCGACCGCCUGGGGAGUACGGCCGCAAGGUUAAAACUCAAAUGAAUUGACGGGGGCCCGCACAAGCGGUGGAGCAUGUGGUUUAAUUCGAUGCAACGCGAAGAACCUUACCUGGUCUUGACAUCCACGGAAGUUUUCAGAGAUGAGAAUGUGCCUUCGGGAACCGUGAGACAGGUGCUGCAUGGCUGUCGUCAGCUCGUGUUGUGAAAUGUUGGGUUAAGUCCCGCAACGAGCGCAACCCUUAUCCUUUGUUGCCAGCGGUCCGGCCGGGAACUCAAAGGAGACUGCCAGUGAUAAACUGGAGGAAGGUGGGGAUGACGUCAAGUCAUCAUGGCCCUUACGACCAGGGCUACACACGUGCUACAAUGGCGCAUACAAAGAGAAGCGACCUCGCGAGAGCAAGCGGACCUCAUAAAGUGCGUCGUAGUCCGGAUUGGAGUCUGCAACUCGACUCCAUGAAGUCGGAAUCGCUAGUAAUCGUGGAUCAGAAUGCCACGGUGAAUACGUUCCCGGGCCUUGUACACACCGCCCGUCACACCAUGGGAGUGGGUUGCAAAAGAAGUAGGUAGCUUAACCUUCGGGAGGGCGCUUACCACUUUGUGAUUCAUGACUGGGGUGAAGUCGUAACAAGGUAACCGUAGGGGAACCUGCGGUUGGAUCACCUCCUUA